RNAcentral lists this ribosomal RNA (373 nucleotides) under uncultured bacterium. Its description in RNAcentral is "bacterial SSU rRNA". It matches the Rfam family "Bacterial small subunit ribosomal RNA", at positions 30 to 405 of the family's 1533-position model. The record is from RNAcentral.
AUUGAACGCUGGCGGCAUGCCUUACACAUGCAAGUCGAACGGCAGCGGACCUUCGGGUGCCGGCGAGUGGCGAACGGGUGAGUAAUAUAUCGGAACGUACCUUUCAGUGGGGGAUAACGUAGCGAAAGUUACGCUAAUACCGCAUAUUCUGUGAGCAGGAAAGCAGGGGAUCGCAAGACCUUGCGCUGAUUGAGCGGCCGAUAUCAGAUUAGCUAGUUGGUGAGGUAAAGGCUCACCAAGGCGACGAUCUGUAGCGGGUCUGAGAGGAUGAUCCGCCACACUGGAACUGAGACACGGUCCAGACUCCUACGGGAGGCAGCAGUGGGGAAUUUUGGACAAUGGGCGCAAGCCUGAUCCAGCCAUGCCGCGUGAG